RNAcentral lists this ribosomal RNA (2181 nucleotides) under Triticum aestivum (bread wheat). RNAcentral's name for it is "partial small subunit ribosomal RNA". The record is from RNAcentral. Lineage: Eukaryota; Viridiplantae; Streptophyta; Magnoliopsida; Poales; Poaceae.
AUGGCGCGGCCUGACUGCCCGGACAAGUGUGGUAGCGUCAGCAUCCCGUACCCGUUCGGCACCGGAAAAGGCUGCUUCCAAGAACCCUUUGAUGUCACAUGCAAUGCCACUGGGCCAUAUCUAGCUUCAACCAGAGUUAGGAUACUGGACAUCAAUCUUGCCAUGGGUGAGAUUCGUGUUCUGAACCCACAUAUAGCAUGGGAAUGUAACUACACCAACGGCACCAAUAGCAGCGGUUCGGAUGGCUUAACCCUUGAUCCUUUUCAUAAGCUUUCCAACACCAAGAACAAGUUGAUAUCGAUCGGUUGUGCUACACUUGGAUUGAUCUUAGGAGCCACCAAGGGCAAGAACCAGCUUGAGUUCCCCAUUGUUAACACAUGCUUUUCAUUCUGCACUGACGCAAGCAGCGUGGAUGAUAGCAAGGAGUGCAUUGGCAUGGGUUGCUGUCAAACCCCUUUUCCAGGAAACAUCAGCUCCUUCAACACCGGAUCUGCACCAUUGCCAUCUUUAUACAACUCUACAAACCAGUCUUUCAGCCCGUGCAGCUACUCAUUUGUCACUGAGGAGGACUGGUUCAAGUUUGAUCGUUCAUAUGUCAGCUCUACAAAUUUCGCAACUAAAUAUACAGAUGGGGUCCCUUUGGUACUAGAUUGGGUUGUUGGUAAUAAAAGUUGUUCGGAAGCCACCAAAAUGGGGUCACAGUAUGCCUGUCAAGCCAAGAACAGUCAAUGCAUUAAUGUGUCCAAUGGCCCUGGAUACCGCUGCAACUGCUCUCAAGGUUAUGAGGGCAAUCCCUAUCUACAAGGAGGGUGCCAAGACAUCAAUGAGUGUGAACCUCCAAACCAGUCGUUGUAUCCUUGCCAAGGUAAAUGCACAAAUACCGUUGGAAACUACACCUGUUUCUGCCCAUCAGGAUUCAGGAGCGAUGAUCCAAAGAGCAUACCCUGCGUUCCAGCUGACCCAAAGAAAGCUCUUAAGGUGGUCUUAGGCAUAUCCUUCAGUGCCAUCUUCCUCAUGGUUUGUAUCUUUGCUCUACGGGCUGAGUACCAGAAAAGGAAGCUUGCGAAGGAGAAGGACAAGUUCUUUGAUCAGAAUGGUGGUCAGAUAUUAUAUCGCCAAAUUAUGUCAAAACAAGUCGACACACUGAAGAUAUUCACUCAAGAAGAUCUGAAGAAGGCUACAAACGACUUUGACAAGAGCAGAGAACUGGGCAGGGGUGGACAUGGCACUGUCUACAAGGGCAUUCUGAAGGAUGACAGGGUAGUGGCCGUGAAACGCUCAAAGAUAAUGAACGUGACCGAAACUGAUGAAUUUGUGCAGGAGAUUAUUAUACUUUCACAGACCAACCACCGGAAUGUGGUCAGGCUUCUAGGGUGCUGCUUAGAGGUGGAAGUCCCCAUACUGGUCUAUGAAUUCAUCCCAAAUGGCACUUUGUUUGAGUUCAUCCAUCGUAGCUAUGGGAGUCCACCUCCCUCACUGGACACCCGUCUCAGGGUUGCUCAAGAAUCCGCCGAAGCAUUGGCGUAUCUGCAUCUGUCCAUGAACCACCCUAUAGUGCACGGGGAUGUCAAGUCUAUGAACAUUCUCUUGGACGAGAACUACAUGGCGAAGGUGACUGACUUUGGGGCAUCAAGGACACUCCCCAAGGACGCGGCCCAGUUCAUGACACUGGUCCAGGGCACCCUGGGUUACCUGGACCCUGAGUACCUGCAGGAGCGGCAGCUGACAGAGAAGAGCGACGUCUACAGCUUCGGGGUCGUGCUUCUGGAGCUGAUCACGGGGAAGACGGCGAUCUACAACGACGGGCCCAAGGAAGGCAAGAGCCUCGUGUGGUCCUUCCUGCUCGCGAUGAAGGAGGACAGCCUUGAGGACAUCCUGGACCCGAGCAUCGUGCGUGCAGGGACGGAGACGCUGCUGGGGGAAGUGGCCGAGCUGGGGAGGAUGUGCUUGGGCCCCAUCGGUGAAGAGAGGCCUUCCAUGACCCAGGUGGCUGACAGGCUGAAGGCUCUGCGAAGCACCUGGAGGGAAGAGCUUGUGCUGGAUCGUGCCGUAACGGAACAUAUGGUUGUGCACAUGCCACCUGUGGCAGCUCCGAUGCCUUGGGAUCUCGCCUCGUCGUCGUCGGGUGCCCCCUCGACGGUGCCGUACAUGUCCGGAAUGGGCAUAGAGGCGCCCAGAUGA